UUAAAGAUGCAGCGAUUCAAGCCAUAAGGGAUGGGAAGAAUCAAUAUGCUCGUGGACAUGGGGUUCCAGAGUUCAACUCUGCCAUUGCUUCCCGGUUUAAGAAAGAUUCUGGGCUUGAGGUUGACCCUGAAAAGGAAGUUACUGUUACCUCUGGGUGCACCGAAGCCAUUGCUGCAACCAUCUUAGGUUUGAUUAAUCCUGGAGAUGAGGUGAUCCUUUUUGCACCUUUCUAUGAUUCCUAUGAAGCUACUCUCUCCAUGGCUGGUGCUAAAAUUAAAUGCAUCACAUUGCGCCCUCCAGAUUUUGCCAUCCCCGUCGAAGAGCUCAAGUCUACAAUCUCAAAAAAUACUCGUGCAAUUCUUAUGAACACUCC
RNAcentral lists this long non-coding RNA (373 nucleotides) under Citrus sinensis (sweet orange). Its description in RNAcentral is "long non-coding RNA (CSIN_LNC001455)". The record is from RNAcentral. Lineage: Eukaryota; Viridiplantae; Streptophyta; Magnoliopsida; Sapindales; Rutaceae.